GCUAGGCACAGUGGCUCAUGCCUGUAAUCCCAGCACUUGGGAAGUUGAGGUGGGAGGAUCGCUUGAGCCCAGGAGUUCUAGAUCAGCCUGGACAAUAUAGCAAGACCUGGUCUCUACAAAAAAAAAAAAAAAGUUAGCUGGGUGUGCUGGCAUGUGCCUGUGGUCCCAGCUACUCAGGAGACUGAGGCAGGAGGAUCACUUGAGCCCAGGAGUUUGAGGCUGCAAUGAGCUAUGAUUGUGCCACUGCACUCCAGCCUGGGCAACAGAGUGAGACUCCGUCUCA
Molecule: small RNA, 283 nt
Filed under: Aotus nancymaae (Ma's night monkey)
Lineage: Eukaryota; Metazoa; Chordata; Mammalia; Primates; Aotidae
Description: Metazoan signal recognition particle RNA (ENSANAG00000000229.1)
Source: RNAcentral